RNAcentral lists this long non-coding RNA (1824 nucleotides) under Marmota monax (woodchuck). Lineage: Eukaryota; Metazoa; Chordata; Mammalia; Rodentia; Sciuridae. The record is from RNAcentral.
GCUUUUAUUUUAAAUUUGAAUUGAGGCCUGGGCAUGUUGGUACAUGCCUGUAAUCCCAGUGGCUCCAGAGACUGAGGCAAGAGGAUUAAGAGUUCAAAGUCAGCCUCAGCAAAAGUGAGGCACUAAGCAACUCAGUGAGACCUUGUCUCCAAAUAAAAUACAAAAUAGGGCUUGGGAUGUGGCUUAGUGAUCAAGUGCCCCUGAGUUCAAUCUCCGGUAACCUCCAACCCCCCAAAAAGGGCUGAACAUGUAACUCAGUUUUUAAGCACCCCUUGGUUCAAUCCCUGGUACCCCCCCAAAAAAAAUUGAAUUGAGAACUUUCUAUAUAUUCCAAAUACUGUGCUAGAUAUCUUAGAUUUCAUAUAUCACUUAUUGUAAACAUGUUCUGAAACAAAGCAUAGUUAUGUGUCAAUAUAUCCCCAUUUUAUGAAUAAGGAAAAUGAGAGUUGGAAACCUUAGAUAACUAGUCCAACAUUGUAAAGUAGGGAAGCCCAGGUUUAGGAUUCAGUUCAGUUGAACUUUAAACUUAUCUGUGCAUGAGUGAGAAUGUGAAGGGAGUUGUGAUCAUGUGAGAGAACAACAGAAAGAAAAACAACAGAGAUAAUCAGAGGAAACCCAGGAAGCUCUCCUCCUCCAACCCUUCUAUUCAUCUUUCCUGAGAUACUCUGGACCAGCUGGAGCUGCUGAAAGCCUAUUUCUGAUUAUUCUGAUAGGAUGAAGCUAUUUAAAGACAACUGUUAAUGAUCCUUUUGAAGAACUACUUUUUAAAAUACUUAAACACCUGUCUGAAUAAGAGGGACAGUAUAUAGUACAGGAGCAGUUCCAAGGUUAAGUUCAUGGGCCUUGGGGUCAGGAUGCCCAGAUCUGUUGACUUCAGACAAAUUAUCCUUUGAAGCCACGUAUUCCUCACCUUUAAAAUGGGGACAGUAAUAGUACCUACUUUGAAGGUAUGAAUAUAUAUAUAAAAGAGAAAACAUUUAAAAGGUUUGCAGCUCAGUUAAUAACCUCAGUAAAUGUUCUCUUAAGCCAAACAUAGGACUCUAGGUGUAUGCCACCUAGAGUCCCAGCUACUUAUUUGUAAAAUUUUAAUUCUAAAAUUUUUAUUUUAAUUAUAAGACAAACUUACAAGGUAGGUACUACUAUUACUGAGGAGGCUGAGAUGGGAGGGUCACUUGAACCCAGGAGUUUGAGACCCAGCCUGGGAUAUAUAGUGAGAUCCUGUCUCAUAAACAAAGAAAGAAAAUAAAUAUUAGCCUAUAUGAUAUUAUUAUUAUAGUGUAUCAUUCAAGGGCCAUGUUUUUAGUGCCUCCAAUUUCCACAAGGUGGCAGGUCAACUUCAAAGUGCACCCCAUGGCUUUGUGUCCAAAUGGCAAAGUCUACUUUACUUGCUUCAGAAUAACUGGUCUAAAUAUGAACUGUUUGAAUCAUCUUCUUUAGGAGAUUUGUCAUGAUCCAGGCAUCUAAUUGUCACUGUAAACUCUUUCUUAAUGGAACCUGAAGAUCCUUUAAUUUAAUCCUCUGGCUUCUCAGGAUUCCCAGGACCAUCUGCAUUUACAUGAAGUAUAUGUUAACUGCCACAGAUAAUUGCAUAAGUGAGUGCACUCAGAUCAGCUUGAUAAACACUAAGUUUAGUCCCUGAAGACAAUGAAGGAGAAAAAUCAUGAGCUGGGAAGAAUCCUGGGCUCUGUGAUUGGCAAACUGCAGAAGAUAAGAGAUUUGUGCCUCUUGUUGUAGAGUAAUAGAAUGUUUGGUCUAUAAAUCAGGAGUUGCAAAAAAAUGGCAAAUGAAGACACUGAAUAGAAGAUUCUCUAGCCUAUUUGUGAG